UCGUGCGAGAAAGUAUCUUCGGAUAUGAUUAGAGCGGCGGACGGGUGAGUAACGCGUAGGAAUCUACCUAGUAGAAGGGGAUAGCCCGAGGAAACUCGGAUUAAUACCGUAUACCUCCUCCGGGAGAAAGAAGGCCUCUCUUUGAAGCUUUCGCUACUAGAUGAGCCUGCGUAAGAUUAGCUUGUUGGUGAGGUAAAGGCUCACCAAGGCUACGAUCUUUAGCGGGUCUGAGAGGACGAUCCGCCACAUUGGGACUGAGACACGGCCCAGACUCCUACGGGAGGCAGCAGUGGGGAAUAUUGGACAAUGGGCGAAAGCCUGAUCCAGCCAUACCGCGUGUGUGAAGAAGGCCUUAGGGUUGUAAAGCACUUUAAGUUGGGAAGAAAGGUUAUUGGCUAAUACCCAAUAACUGUGACAUUACCAUCAGAAUAAGGACCGGCUAAUUCCGUGCCAGCAGCCGCGGUAAUACGGAAGGUCCAAGCGUUAAUCGGAAUUACUGGGCGUAAAGCGCGCGUAGGUGGUUUAUUAAGUUGGAUGUGAAAGCCCCGGGCUCAACCUGGGAACUGCAUCCAAAACUGAUUCACUAGAGUACGAUAGAGGGAGGUAGAAUUCACAGUGUAGCGGUGGAAUGCGUAGAUAUUGUGAAGAAUACCAAUGGCGAAGGCAGCCUCCUGGAUCUGUACUGACACUGAGGUGCGAAAGCGUGGGUAGCGAACAGGAUUAGAUACCCUGGUAGUCCACGCCGUAAACGAUGUCAACUAGCUGUGGAAAGCAU
RNAcentral lists this ribosomal RNA (775 nucleotides) under uncultured bacterium. RNAcentral describes it as "bacterial SSU rRNA". It matches the Rfam family "Bacterial small subunit ribosomal RNA", at positions 62 to 832 of the family's 1533-position model. The record is from RNAcentral.